CAUAUGCCACCUAGGGGAUGGCUUGGCUCUAGUCGCUGCUAAGGCCGUGGCAAGCUGCGAUAAGCUUGGGGUAGCCGCAUGUCAGGCUUUGAACCCAAGAUUGCCGAAUUGCGCUAUGAAUAGUGGCGCAUGCAGACGCGGGGAACUGAAGCAUCUUAGUACCCGCAGGAAAAGAAAUCAUAUGAGAUGGCGCUAGUAACGGCGAGUGAACGCGCUAAAGGGCACACCGAAUCCCUGUGCGCAAGUGCAGGGAGAUGUAGUGCAGGGUUAUUUGCAUAGCUGCGAGCCGAACGCUUUGGAAAGAGCGGCCAAAGAGAGUGACAGCCUCGUAGGCGAAGCUGUUGUGCAACUCCCUGUAAAAGAGUAGCGUGGCCUGAAUACGCCACGUGAAGAUGGGGCGUUAAACUCCAACCCUAAACAUUGACUAGAGACCGAUAGCGAACAAGUACCGCGAGGGAAAGCUGAAAAGAACCCACACGUGUGGGAGUGAAAAGAUCUGAAACUAGGUGGUUACAAGAAGGUAGGGCAUGAGCUUUGAAGUGCGCGAAGCGAACCUUGUGAAAGGCUAGCGAAACGCAUAGAGCAGUGUUCUAUCAUUCUUCUCGAAGCAAGAGCCAGGGAGUGUAUUGAAGUGGCAAGCGCAAGCUGAGCGAAAGCGAGGCCUGUAUAAGGCGGGUGCGAAAGCGCCCGAGUCACUUCAUUACGACCCGAAGCCAUUGUGAACUACGCGCGAGUAGGGCGAAGUCGAGUUGAUGCUCGAUGGAGGCCCGCAACCUGUCAUGGCGUGUCCUGUUGGGUGACUCGCGGGUAGGGGCGAUAGACCGUUCGAACAUGGCAAUAACGGGUCCCCUUCGAAGUAUCUUAAGGAUAGCCUCCGGUUAGCUCGCAUGUGCGGUAGAGCUACCGAUUAGACUGUUGGAAGCGAAAGCUUCCGCUCUCUAGUCAAACUCCGAAUGCACGUGCUGCAGAGCCGGGGAGUCGGCGGCGCUGGGUAAGCUAGCGCCACGAGACUGGAAUGACAGUGACAGAGGUUAAGGUCCCUAAAUCCUAGUUAAGUGUGUUGGAGGAAGACAUUGUCUUAGACAGUCGGGAGGUAGGCUCAGAAGCAGCCACCCUUUAAAAAACGCGUAACAGCGUACCGAUCGAGACAGUGUUUUCUGAAGAUGGACGGGGCUAAACUAGGUACCGAUACCCCUGCGUUCGCAAGAACGAGUAGAAGGGCAUGCUGUGCUGCAAGAAGCGCUUCUUUGAGGAGGCGUGGACAGCACAGUAGAGAAAAUCCUGGUGUUAGUAACAGCAAAUAAGGGUGAGAAUCCCUUACGCCUGAAGCACAAGGUUUUCCUCACAACAGUCGUUGGUGGGGAGUUAGCCGUUCCUAAGCAAGGAGCCAAUCACUACCUUGCAAAAGGGAAGCCUGUUAAUAUCCAGGCGCCAGGCACGUAGGUGUGGCAACACAAGGCAAAUUCCUGACACUUGGGGAUAGGCCGCUUGAAAAGUGCAAAUGGCUGCAGAGUCUCAUUAUGAGGAGAAGCAGCUAAAUGAACUUCGGCCAAAUUCCUGAGUCCGUGAAAAGGGAAUUUGCAACGAUCGUGCUUGAACGUACCUAGAACCAGUACAGGUGCUGCUGGCUGAAAAGGCCAAGGCGUGUCGGGACUAAAUCAGGUUAGGGAACUCGGCAAGUUAGUGGCGUACGGUAACAAUAAGCCAUGUCUGCGCUCUGUAAGCGCAGAUUGCAAUAACAAGGGGGAGGCAACUGUUUCUUUAAAACACAACUCACCGCUAAGCAGUAAUGCUUUGUACAGUGGGUGACGCCUGCUCACCGCUAGUACGCGAAACCCGCAAGGGAUAAGCGCUAGCAAAGAGCGGGGGUAACUCUGACCCUCUUUAGGUAGCGUAAUACCUCGUCGCUUAAUAGGCGACUUGCAUGAAGGGCGUAAUGACCCCCCCAAUGUCCCAACCUGGUGCCCGGUGAACUCACUGCGUGGUGUACAUGCCACGUACCUUCAGUGGGAAACGAAGUCUCUAUGAAACUUGACUACAGUCUGUUGUUGUUGUACUGCAAAGGUUGCAUAGCGUAAGUGGGAGCGUCGAUGUGCACGCUUCGGCGUGCACGGAGCGACAAUGUAACACCACUCUUCUUUUGCGGUAUGACUAACCGCAAAGGGACAGCGACAGAUGGGUAGUUAGACUGGGCGGUUGCUUUCGAUAAGGAAACGAAAGUGACCAAUGCUCUGCUUAGGCGGGUUGGAAACCCGCUGUCAAGCUUAAAGGCAAAUGCAGGGCUGACUGUACCUCGAAAAGCGGGAGGUGCAGACUCGAAAGAGGGGCUUACCGAGCGUUGGUGGCCUCUUUAACAGGGCCCCAACCUGUCAGAAAAGUUACUCUAGAGGUAACCGGUUCGUGGCUGGUGAGAGUUCACAUCGACCCAGCCGUUUGAUACACCGAUAUGGGCUUAGGUCAUCCUGGUGGUGCAAGAGCCGCCAAGGGCCAGGCUGCUCGCCUGUCAAAGACCUACAUGAGCUGAGUUAAGUCCGCCGCGAGGCAGGACGGUAGUAUCUACUGAAGGUGUUAGUGUCAGAGGAUAAGUUACCCCUAGUACGAGAGGAAUGGGGUAACGGCGCCUCCGGUUUAGCGGUUGUGCUCGCAUGGCCGCGUAGCUGCGCGCUAAGGAAUAAGUCCUGAAAGCAUCUAAGGACGAAGUCCAAUCCGAAACGAGACACUUAGGGUGGUCGUAUUACAUGACUUGAUAGGGCGGCUGUGUAAGCCGGGAGCGCAAGCGACCGGUCAGCAGACCGUUACUAAAACCUAAUUCUUAGUUUGUUC
RNAcentral lists this ribosomal RNA (2823 nucleotides) under hot springs metagenome. Its description in RNAcentral is "bacterial LSU rRNA". It matches the Rfam family "Archaeal large subunit ribosomal RNA". The record is from RNAcentral.